GAUGAGGUGGCUGGAGCUAGCCCACUCACAUGCCACCUUCCAGACUUGUUACAGAAGAUGACUAUCGGAUGCCUUGAAACAGCUAGACUGCACAUGAGCAGCACGCGUCCCCCCCUCCGCGUCCCCUCCCCAGAACGUGUCCCAGGGAGCGGUCUCUUUCCUUCACUGCGCCUUUGAGGGAAGAAUGGGAUCUAGUUGGCUAAGCACCCAGGACAAGGUUCUAGCAACUCAAACCCACCCUCCUGUGAAUCCGCCUUGUCCUAGAGUACCACUCUGCAGUAAGGACAUGUGACACGAUGUCCUUCCUACACUCAAGAGUCAUGACUGCUGGAUAGCCCCCUGGACGGAGGGAGCAGGACAGAAGGCGCCUUAGGGAUGAGAUCUCAUGAUGGACGCACAGGACACGGGAAACUGCAUGAACACCAUGUCUGCUUAGGAUUUGGAGAAAAACAGAGCUUUGCAGCCAUGAGUUGGAGCAUUUUCCCAUCUCCAUCUUUCAUUUGAUAGAGGGAGU
Molecule: long non-coding RNA, 514 nt
Filed under: Mus pahari (shrew mouse)
Lineage: Eukaryota; Metazoa; Chordata; Mammalia; Rodentia; Muridae
Description: lncRNA (MGP_PahariEiJ_G0002429.1)
Source: RNAcentral